AAAUGAAUUGACGGGGGCCCGCACAAGCAGUGGAGUAUGUGGUUUAAUUCGAAGCAACGCGAAGAACCUUACCAGGGCUUGACAUACAGAGGGAUAUGGUAGAGAUAUCAUAGCUCUUCGGAGCCUCUGUACAGGUGGUGCAUGGUUGUCGUCAGCUCGUGUCGUGAGAUGUUGGGUUAAGUCCCGCAACGAGCGCAACCCCUGUUGUUAGUUGGUAACACGUAGAGGUGACCACUCUAACGAGACUGCCGGUGACAAAUCGGAGGAAGGUGGGGACGACGUCAAAUCAUCAUGCCCCUUAUGUCCUGGGCUACACACGUACUACAAUGGCUACAACAGAGGGAAGCUAAGCCGUAAGGUGGAGCAAAUCCCCAAAAGUAGUCCCAGUUCAGAUUGUGGGCUGCAACUCGCCCACAUGAAGUAGGAAUUGCUAGUAAUGGCAGGUCAGCAUACUGCCGUGAAUACGUUCCCGGGCCUUGUACACACCGCCCGU
This 493-nucleotide ribosomal RNA is filed under the name uncultured bacterium. RNAcentral's name for it is "bacterial SSU rRNA". It matches the Rfam family "Bacterial small subunit ribosomal RNA", at positions 903 to 1397 of the family's 1533-position model. The record is from RNAcentral.